This 250-nucleotide ribosomal RNA is filed under the name uncultured bacterium. Its description in RNAcentral is "partial 16S ribosomal RNA". It matches the Rfam family "Bacterial small subunit ribosomal RNA", at positions 335 to 578 of the family's 1533-position model. The record is from RNAcentral.
AACCUACGGGGGGCAGCAGUAGGGAAUCUUCCACAAUGGACGAAAGUCUGAUGGAGCAACGCCGCGUGAGUGAAGAAGGGUUUCGGCUCGUAAAGCUCUGUUGGUAGUGAAGAAAGAUAGAGGUAGUAACUGGCCUUUAUUUGACGGUAAUUACUUAGAAAGUCACGGCUAACUACGUGCCAGCAGCCGCGGUAAUACGUAGGUGGCAAGCGUUAUCCGGAUUUAUUGGGCGUAAAGCGAGUGCAGGCGG